ACAUGCAAGUCGAACGAAAAUACCAAGCUUGCUUGGUUGAUUAGUGGCGAACGGGUGAGUAACACGUGAGUAACCUGCCCCUUACUUUCUGGAUAACUGCUCGAAAGGGUAGCUAAUACGGGAUAUUCUGGCCUUCCUGCAUGGGUUGGUCUGGAAAGGUUUUUUUUCUGGUGAGGGAUGGGCUCGCGGCCUAUCAGCUUGUUGGUGGGGUGAUGGCCUACCAAGGCUUUGACGGGUAGCCGGCCUGAGAGGGUGGACGGUCACACUGGGACUGAGAUACGGCCCAGACUCCUACGGGAGGCAGCAGUGGGGAAUAUUGCACAAUGGGCGCAAGCCUGAUGCAGCGACGCCGCGUGAGGGAUGAAGGCCUUCGGGUUGUAAACCUCUUUCGUCAGGGAACAAGGCAUCACUUUUGGUGGUGUUGAGGGUACCUGGAUAAGAAGCGCCGGCUAACUACGUGCCAGCAGCCGCGGUAAUACGUAGGGCGCAAGCGUUGUCCGGAAUUAUUGGGCGUAAAGAGCUCGUAGGCGGCUGGUCGCGUCUGUCGUGAAAACUUCCGGCUCAACCGGGGGCUUGCGGUGGGUACGGGCCGGCUAGAGUGCGGUAGGGGUAACUGGAACUCCUGGUGUAGCGGUGGAAUGCGCAGAUAUCAGGAAGAACACCGAUGGCGAAGGCAGGUUACUGGGCCGUUACUGACGCUGAGGAGCGAAAGCGUGGGGAGCGAACAGGAUUAGAUACCCUGGUAGUCCACGCUGUAAACGUUGGGCACUAGGUGUGAGGCUCCUUUCCGGGGGU
RNAcentral lists this ribosomal RNA (795 nucleotides) under uncultured Actinomyces sp. Its description in RNAcentral is "bacterial SSU rRNA". It matches the Rfam family "Bacterial small subunit ribosomal RNA", at positions 53 to 839 of the family's 1533-position model. The record is from RNAcentral. Lineage: Bacteria; Bacillati; Actinomycetota; Actinomycetes; Actinomycetales; Actinomycetaceae.